This 1685-nucleotide ribosomal RNA is filed under the name Diplophos sp. MM-1999. RNAcentral describes it as "16S rRNA". The stretch from base 96 to 1573 matches the Rfam family "Bacterial large subunit ribosomal RNA". Lineage: Eukaryota; Metazoa; Chordata; Actinopteri; Stomiiformes; Diplophidae. The record is from RNAcentral.
GCUGAAUAGCUAGCCUUAUACACCACGGCCAACACACUGAUUAGCCACAACCCACCAAGACCUGAAUACAACGAACAAACCAUUUUUCCAUCCUAGUACGGGAGACGGAAAGGAGCACUUUUGAGCGACAGAGAUAGUACCGCAAGGGAAAGCUGAAAGAGGAAUGAAACAACUCACUCAAGCCCCAGGAAACAGAGACACAACCUCGUACCUUUUGCAUCAUGGUUUAGCCAGAACACCCAGGCAAGGAGAACUUUAGUCCGGACCCCCGAAACUACGUGAGCUACUCCGAGGCAGCCUAUAGCAGGGCCAACCCAUCUCUGUGGCAAAAGAGUGGGAAGAACUUCGAGUAGAGGUGAAAAGCCUACCGAACCUAGUUAUAGCUGGUUGCUUGGAAAAUGAAUAGAAGUUCAGCCUUCUGAGUUCUUAAACCCCCCCGGCGCACGACACCUGGGCUGCAGAAGUUAGAAGAGUUAGUCAAGAGAGGUACAGCUCUCUUGAAAUAGGACACAACCUUUUCAGGCGGUUGAGGAUCAUAAUACUUAAGGUGAACUAUCUUAGUGGGCCUGAAAGCAGCCACCUGGACAGAAAGCGUUAAAGCUCAAACAGAUCAGCCUUUAAACCUCUAAUUUGGAUAAAAAGUCCCACCCCCUUCCACCACCAAGCCCCCCUAUGCACCCAUAGGAGAGCUUAUGCUAAAAUGAGUAAUAGGAGGGCACGCCCCUCUCCCCGCGCAAGUGUAAGUCAGACCGGACCCCCCCCUGACAGAUAACGAACCCACCCCUAGAGAGAACUUCGGACCAAAUCAGUUAACCAGGAAAAACCCGAAUGUAACAUCGUUAACCCUACACAGGAGCGCCCCAAGGGAAAGACCUAAAGGGAGAGAAGGAACUCGGCAAGCACAAGCCUCGCCUGUUUACCAAAAACAUCGCCUCUUGCUGAACCCAUGAAUAAGAGUCCCGCCUGCCCUGUGACCACAAGUUUAACGGCCGCGGUAUAUUGACCGUGCAAAGGUAGCGCAAUCACUUGUCUUUUAAAUGAAGACCCGUAUGAAAGGCACGACGAGGGCUUAACUGUCUCCUCUCCCCAGUCUAUGAAAUUGAUCCCCCCGUGCGGAAGCGGGGAUCCCGAUAUAAGACGAGAAGACCCCAUGGAGCUUCAGACACUGGGCAACCCACCCCUGACCCCCUCGGCCACUGACGGGGACAAUAACUGGCCUUUCUCCCACUUGUCUUUGGUUGGGGCGACCGAGGAGGAGAAGAAGCCUCCACACGGACUGGGAGCACACAUCCUAGGACUGAGAGUUACAUCUCUAAGGAACAGAACUUCUGACUAAAUGAUCCGGCGCACGCCGAUCGACGGACCGAGUUACCCUGGGGAUAACAGCGCAAUCCUCUCCCAGAGUCCCUAUCGACGAGGGGGUUUACGACCUCGAUGUUGGAUCAGGACAUCCCAGUGGUGCAGCCGCUACUAAGGGUUCGUUUGUUCAACGAUUAAAGUCCUACGUGAUCUGAGUUCAGACCGGAGCAAUCCAGGUCAGUUUCUAUCUAUAAAUGAAUCUUCCCCAGUACGAAAGGACCGGGGAGAAAAGGCCCAUGCCCCCGGUACGCCUUGCCCCUGCUCAAUGAGGCCAACUAAAAUGGAAAAAGGGGGGCAAGCCCGGAGGCGCCCUAGAGAAGGGCUCA